UACGGAGGGGGCUAGCGUUGUUCGGAAUUACUGGGCGUAAAGCGUACGUAGGCGGAUCAGCAAGUUGGGGGUGAAAUCCCGGGGCUCAACCCCGGAACUGCCUCCAAAACUGUUGGUCUAGAGUUCGAGAGAGGUGAGUGGAAUUGUGAGUGUAGAGGUGAAAUGCGUAGAUAUUCGGAGGAACACCAGUGGCGAAGGCGGCUCACUGGCUCGAUACUGACGCUGAGGUACGAAAGUGUGGGGAGCAAACAGG
This 253-nucleotide ribosomal RNA is filed under the name uncultured bacterium. Its description in RNAcentral is "partial 16S ribosomal RNA". It matches the Rfam family "Bacterial small subunit ribosomal RNA", at positions 524 to 776 of the family's 1533-position model. The record is from RNAcentral.